This 517-nucleotide ribosomal RNA is filed under the name Penicillium sp. 14a. RNAcentral's name for it is "partial 18S ribosomal RNA". The stretch from base 194 to 347 matches the Rfam family "5.8S ribosomal RNA". Lineage: Eukaryota; Fungi; Ascomycota; Eurotiomycetes; Eurotiales; Aspergillaceae. The record is from RNAcentral.
UACCUGCGGAAGGAUCAUUACUGAGUGAGGGCCCUCUGGGUCCAACCUCCCACCCGUGUUUAUUAUACCUUGUUGCUUCGGUGCGCCCGCCUCACGGCCGCCGGGGGGCUUCUGCCCCCGGGUCCGCGCGCACCGGAGACACUAUUGAACUCUGUCUGAAGAUUGCAGUCUGAGCAUAAACCAAAUAAGUUAAAACUUUCAACAACGGAUCUCUUGGUUCCGGCAUCGAUGAAGAACGCAGCGAAAUGCGAUAACUAAUGUGAAUUGCAGAAUUCAGUGAAUCAUCGAGUCUUUGAACGCACAUUGCGCCCCCUGGUAUUCCGGGGGGCAUGCCUGUCCGAGCGUCAUUGCUGCCCUCAAGCACGGCUUGUGUGUUGGGCUCCGUCCCCCCGGGGACGGGUCCGAAAGGCAGCGGCGGCACCGAGUCCGGUCCUCGAGCGUAUGGGGCUUUGUCACCCGCUCUGUAGGCCCGGCCGGCGCCAGCCGACAACCAAUCAUCCUUUUUUCAGGUGACCUC